UUUAAUUGAAAGAUCAUUGGGGUUGUUGUAUUUUUGUGAUUUAAUUUUUUUGACGAUAGUUUAUUUGUACUGUGAAGGGUCGGUAUUUAGUGUAAUUAUUUUUUGAAAGUUGAUUUUGUUUGUUGUACCUUGUGUAUCAGGGUUUAUUGAAUUUUAUUAUUUAUUUUUAUUUCCCGAUUUUAAAGGAGUUAAUGAUUUAUGUUAGUUACUGUUUCAUUAGUAUUAAUAAUAAUUUGUUGGUAAUGAGAUGUUAUUCGUCUUUAGUGGUUUCUGGUUUUUCAAGAAAUGAAUUUAAUUCAUACAUCUUAUUUAAUUUCUGUUGUUUUCUAUUUAUUUUUAUUUGAUGUUAAGAUUGAGGGGGAUUAGCUCCUUAUUUCAUUUUUAUAAUUUUUUUGUUGAUUUAGUUUUGUGGAUUUUAUGGUGAUUUUCAAUUUGAUUAUGUUAAAAUUUUAUUUGUUCUUUUUUUAAUUUUGUUUUAUUUAAUUUUUUAUUGAAAUGUUUGCUUUGUUUUGUGUUUGUAUAAUAAUUAUUGUGAAAUUAGUAAAUUUGUUUAUUUACAUUAUUUAUUGGAUGUUAAUUUCUUUUAAGGAAUUCGGCAAAGUUAUUAUGUCCGCCUGUUUAACAAAAACAUCUUUUCUUGUUAGUUUUUGAAGUAUGGCCUGCCCACUGACUUUGAGUUGAAGGGCCGCGGUAUUUUGACCGUGCAAAGGUAGCAUAAUCAUUAGUUCUUUAAUUGUGAUCUGGUAUGAAUGGCUUGACGAGACAUAAGCUGUCUUGGGGGUAUUGUUUGUUGAAAUUAGUUUUUGAGUUAAAAUUCUUAGAUGUUUUUAUGGGACGAGAAGACCCUAUAGAGUUUAACAUUUGUCUUGCUUUGUUUAUUAUGUUUGUUGUUUUUUGUAAGUUGGAUUGGUGUUUUGUUGGGGUGAUGGGAGGAAUAUUUUUAACUCCUCUUUUCUUUUAUAUAUUUAUUUAUAUUUUGUUUGAUCCACUUAUUUUGAUUACAAGAUUAAAUUACCUUAGGGAUAACAGCGUUAUCUUCCUUGAGAGUUCUUAUUGGCGGGGAGGUUUGCGACCUCGAUGUUGGAUUAAGGUGCAUUUUCGGUGCAGGAGCUGAAGUUGAUUAGGUCUGUUCGACCUUUAAAACCUUACAUGAUCUGAGUUCAGACCGGCGUGAGCCAGGUUGGUUUCUAUCUAUAAUUAGUAUUUAUAUCUUAGUACGAGAGGACCGGAUAUUUGGAAUAAUUUUAUUUAUUGUGAUUUUCAUUAAUAUUGUUGCUAUUUUGGCAGAUAAGUGCAUUGGAUUUAGAAUCUAUUAAUGUAAAGUUUU
Molecule: ribosomal RNA, 1327 nt
Filed under: Cahuallitermes intermedius
Lineage: Eukaryota; Metazoa; Arthropoda; Insecta; Blattodea; Termitidae
Description: 16S ribosomal RNA
Rfam family: Bacterial large subunit ribosomal RNA (bases 828-1197)
Source: RNAcentral